RNAcentral lists this ribosomal RNA (459 nucleotides) under uncultured bacterium. RNAcentral describes it as "bacterial SSU rRNA". It matches the Rfam family "Bacterial small subunit ribosomal RNA", at positions 343 to 793 of the family's 1533-position model. The record is from RNAcentral.
GGGAGGCAGCAGUGAGGAAUUUUGCGCAAUGGGCGAAAGCCUGACGCAGCAACGCCGCGUGAGUGAUGAAGGCUUUCGGGUCGUAAAGCUCUGUCAAUGGGAAAGAAGUGUAUGGAGGUUAAUACCCUUUAUACUUGACGGUACCCAUAAAGGAAGCACCGGCUAACUCCGUGCCAGCAGCCGCGGUAAUACGGGGGGUGCAAGCGUUGUUCGGAAUUAUUGGGCGUAAAGCGCGUGUAGGCGGUUUGAUUAGUCUGAUGUGAAAGCCCUGGGCUCAACCCAGGAAGUGCAUUGGAUACUGUCAGACUUGAAUACGGGAGAGGGUAGUGGAAUUCCUAGUGUAGGAGUGAAAUCCGUAGAUAUUAGGAGGAACACCGGUGGCGAAGGCGGCUGCCUGGACCGAUAUUGACGCUGAGACGCGAAAGCGUGGGUAGCAAACAGGAUUAGAUACCCGGGUAC